This 621-nucleotide long non-coding RNA is filed under the name Arabidopsis thaliana (thale cress). RNAcentral's name for it is "ncRNA (AT1G49938)". Lineage: Eukaryota; Viridiplantae; Streptophyta; Magnoliopsida; Brassicales; Brassicaceae. The record is from RNAcentral.
CUUCUUGAAGUGAAUGAGUCGAUGAUUAAGCGCUGACUUAAUGUUAUAAUACAAAACAACUUAUUCAGGGUUUGAGAUAUUGGCGUAAUCUUGCAACCAGCUUCUGAGCCAAGAGGGUCAUGAAUUUUCUGGCAGAAGGUUAAACGACUGAAUACUGCAUUUUCUGAUCAUUCAAUUUCUAGAACCUAUGAGCAGUGCCAGAAAGUUUCUGGAAGAACUUCAUCUUGGUGUAAAAUAAGACGAUCCGCCAACCACGAACUCCCACUUAUCAAUGGAACUAUGUUUGUAGAAGGGUUAUUAUCCUGUACACUCUGUAUCAAACAUUUUAUACAAGCUAGAAGCAUUGCCAGAAGAUUCUAGAAGAACUCAUCUUCGAGUAUUAUAAGACAAUCAACCAUCCACGAAUUUCCACCUAUUUUGCACUUAAAGCACUGCAAUUCGUAGCUAAGAGAUGAAACAUAAGAGAUGUAGUUCUAGAGAAAAGCCAAAAAUUGGAUCAAGAAACAGACUUGUGGAAAAAUAUCAAAUCUUUUGAAUGGUAUACUGCAACUUCGGACAUAAUUAACGUAUAUCGUUUCUUAGGUUGACUCCUUUCCCUAGUAUGUUACUCCAAUCUUUUCU